This 301-nucleotide ribosomal RNA is filed under the name uncultured bacterium. RNAcentral describes it as "partial 16S ribosomal RNA". It matches the Rfam family "Bacterial small subunit ribosomal RNA", at positions 509 to 807 of the family's 1533-position model. The record is from RNAcentral.
CAGUAGCCGCGGUAAUACGAAGGGUGCAAGCGUUAAUCGGAAUUACUGGGCGUAAAGCGUGCGCAGGCGGUUUGUUAAGACAGAUGUGAAAUCCCCGGGCUCAACCUGGGAACUGCAUUUGUGACUGGCAAGCUAGAGUGUGGCAGAGGGGGGUGGAAUUCCGCGUGUAGCAGUGAAAUGCGUAGAUAUGCGGAGGAACACCGAUGGCGAAGGCAGCCCCCUGGGCCAACACUGACGCUGAGGCACGAAGGCGUGGGGAGCAAACAGGAUUAGAUACCCCUGUAGUCCCUGUCUCUUAUAC